UACGUAGGGUGCAAGCGUUGUCCGGAAUUAUUGGGCGUAAAGGGCUCGUAGGCGGUUUGUCGCGUCGGGAGUGAAAACUCAGGGCUUAACCCUGAGCCUGCUUUCGAUACGGGCAGACUUGAGGCAUGCAGGGGAGAACGGAAUUCCUGGUGUAGCGGUGAAAUGCGCAGAUAUCAGGAGGAACACCGGUGGCGAAGGCGGUUCUCUGGGCAUGUUCUGACGCUGAGGAGCGAAAGUGUGGGGAGCGAACAGG
RNAcentral lists this ribosomal RNA (253 nucleotides) under uncultured bacterium. Its description in RNAcentral is "partial 16S ribosomal RNA". It matches the Rfam family "Bacterial small subunit ribosomal RNA", at positions 524 to 776 of the family's 1533-position model. The record is from RNAcentral.